RNAcentral lists this transfer RNA (89 nucleotides) under Methylobacterium nodulans ORS 2060. Its description in RNAcentral is "tRNA-Phe (GAA) (tRNA-Phe-GAA-2-1)". It matches the Rfam family "tRNA". Rfam says of the family: Transfer RNA (tRNA) molecules are approximately 80 nucleotides in length. Their secondary structure includes four short double-helical elements and three loops (D, anti-codon, and T loops). Lineage: Bacteria; Pseudomonadati; Pseudomonadota; Alphaproteobacteria; Hyphomicrobiales; Methylobacteriaceae. The record is from Rfam by way of RNAcentral.
GGAGGGAUGGCAGAGCGGUCGAUUGCGCUCCGCUGAAAACGGAGUGGGCCUCGUCAGAGGCUUCGCGGGUUCGAAUCCCGCUCCCUAUU